Molecule: long non-coding RNA, 11681 nt
Filed under: Gossypium barbadense (sea-island cotton)
Lineage: Eukaryota; Viridiplantae; Streptophyta; Magnoliopsida; Malvales; Malvaceae
Description: long non-coding RNA (GBAR_LNC009909)
Source: RNAcentral
UUUAAUCACAAGAGGGUCCUAGAUGCAUUCGGCGAGAAGGUGGAUGAAAAUGGCUUACUUCAUCUACUUUCAGUCCCCGAUGGACUGGAAGAUGGGAAAGAUAGGAAUCAGUUAGGGAAGUUAACUGAAAGAUUAUGCCAGGUUAUGCCUACUCAACUCAAAGAGCUCAUUCAUAAGGUUAAUGGAUCAGAUGAUGAUAAGAUUUCAUGUGUUUUAGCUGAUAUUAACAUUGGGUUGGCUCUUGAUGUUGCGGCGGAGUUGGGGAUUCCUACUGUGGGCUUGUGGCCGGGUGCAGUGUUUCAACUGGCGAUGUUGCUUAGUAUCCCCAAAUUUAUUGAUGAUGGACUGAUAGAUGAAAUUGGUAAGAACCUGUCUUGCUUUAACGACUUAGCAAUGCAGUACCUAUGAAUAAGAGAAAAUAUAAGUUUUUUUCUCGUCUGAGAUCUAAUUUGAUUCGACUUAGGCUAAUUUCUCGUAACUUUUGAAUUAAAAAGUGUUUAUUAUUAUUAUUAAAAAGUAUUUUUAAGAAAUAAUAUAUUUAUUUUAAACGGAAAUAAAAAUAUGCCUUUGAAAAUGCAAUAUAGAUUUUAAAUAUUUGUAAGCCAUUAAUAUUAAUUAUUUGUAAAAUUUAAUUUAAAUAUAUAAUUCAUAUUUUAAAUAUCAUUAAAAUAUAACUAUAAAAAAAUUAACUAAUAAUGGUAUAUAUUUAAAAUAAAUUUUAAUAGGAAAAUAAUUGUAUAUCCAAAAUAAUUAGUACAUAAAAGCACAUUAAAUUAUAAAUAAUGGUUAAAAAUGUGACUUGACUUUAAAAAUAUUUUUUGCAAGGAUUCAAAAGCAUUUUCUUACUUCUGAAACAGUCAGUUUAACAUUACUUAUAGUUUAAAAAACACUUUCAACAAUGUUAUCUUGUUUUGCAGGCACUCCACUCAUGAAACAUAAGAUGUUUCAGUUGUCACCAAAGACGCCUUCUAUACACCCAAUGAAUUUAGUAUGGCUUAACAUUGAUGACUCUCCUUCAACCCAAAAAAUCAUGUUUGAUUUUAUACUUAGGAACAUCAAAGUUGUUGAAACAACAGAUUGGGUACUUUGCAACUCAAGUUUGGAAUUAGAGUUUCAAGGGUUCAACUUAGUUCCCAAAGCCUCACCCAUAGGCCCAUUUUUAGCAAUCAAUCGGCUCGGAAACUUGUCGGGAAAUUUCUGGCCCGAGGAUUCAACUUGUUUGUAGUGGCUCGAUCAACAGUCACCUGGUUCAGUCAUAUAUGUCGCAUUUGGUAGUUUCACAGUUUUUGACCAAAUCCAGUUUCAAGAGUUAGCUUUGGGGCUUGAAAUCACCGAAAGACCAUUCAUUUGGGUUGUAAGAGAAGAUAUUACAAAAGGAAAACACCAUAACUACCCUAAAGGGUUUAAUGAAAGAGUUGGCAAUCGAUGUAGGAUAGUGAGUUGGGCACCACAAGCAGCAGUUUUGGGUCAUUCUUCCAUUGCAUGCUUUAUAAGUCAUUGUGGGUGGAAUUCCACCAUGGAAGGUGUAAGCAAUGGGGUGCCUUUCUUGUGUUGGCCUUACUUUGCUGAUCAGUUCCUGAAUGAAAGCUACAUUUCUGAUAUUUGGAAGACUGGAUUAAAACUCCAAAAGGAUGAAGGAGGUAUCAUUAGAAAAGAAGAAAUUAAAAGGAAGGUGGAACAAUUGGUUGGUGAUGAAAAUUUCAAAACAAGGGCUGUUGAACUGAAGCAAAUGGUUGAAAAAAGUGUCUGUGAUGGUGGAAGUUCUGAUAAGGUAUUCAAGAACUUUGUUCAAUGGUUGAAAUCAUAGAUCACUUCUUUGCAUUUCGUUUUCUUGUUGAGGUUGAUUUAAUGGUGGUGGUUGUAGUAUGUUAAUUUGAUUUCGUCCCUUCAAUUUAAGUUUCGAUUGAAAUAAUCAAUUUUAAUAAAUUAAAUCAAUCAAUUCUCCAAUCACCAUUUACUCAAUUUAUAAUAAAUUAGUUCCAAAUAUUACAUUGACUGUGAUUUUAAUUUAUUAAAUAUUAUGUUUACAAUUUAUAAAAAAAUAUUUUGAUUUAAUUUUUAAUAAAAAAUUGAUUAAUCUAAAAUAAUAAAACAACAUUUUAAAAAUAAUGAAAAAAUAAAAAAUAAUGAAUAGUGAAAUAUUAAAUAAAUAUAUAAACAUAAUUUAUCAUUUUAAUAUAAGUCAAAUAUUCAUCUACAAAUAAUCAUCACUUUAAUAUUUUAUUGCUUUUGACAUAUGAUUUCAAAACACAAUGAUAAAAUAUUUUCGCAAUUGUGUAAGUAUUAUUAAAAUCAAAUAAUAGUAUAGAGAAGGGAUUCACUUUUAAUAGUAUAAAAUGAAAAUAGUUUUACACGCUUUUUUAUUUCUUUGUACGAUCAAUAUUUUUAUAAUUCAAUUGUCGAAUUUAUUGAUGUAAUUGUACUUAUAAUUUUAUUUUAAUAAUAUAGAAUAAAUGAUAAAUUCAUAAUUUAAAAACAUUCAUUUUAAUCCAAGGAUUAAUAUUUUCAUUCUCAUUAUUUUUAUUAAAAAAUUCUCACAAUAAUUACUUCCUUUUAUAAUUAAAUUAAGUUAAAGAAAAAAAUAUAUUUUCAUCUUCUUCUCCUACAAAAACCCACAAAUUUCUUAUCCUAAAAUUCUUUCCUUUCCUUGAAAAAGUCCAUAAUCUCGAAAAGUCAUUUCUAACACUCAUGAGUUUAGAGUCCCUAAUGACACACUAUCAAAAUCUCAAAUACUCAUUUUUCUGAAUCCACCCCCUUUAUUUUACUAUUAGUUUUUAAUCCGAUGGUGCACGGGUUUACUUGUACUAUAUGUAUUAAUUAAAAUAUAUUAUAAAUUUAUAUAAAGUUAAUUUUAUAAUUGAUAUUAUAAAUAAAUUUAAAUUAUUUUAUAUAUUUUUGUAGUUAUCUAAAUGUUAUAUUUUCUUUUAUAAAUUGUAUAUAUUAAGUAAAUGAUUAUAUUAAUUUAAAAUGAGAGACUGGUAGGGCAAAAGGACCAUCAACAAUAAAACUAAAAAUAUUAUCAAAUCGAAAAUUAUUAGAAUAAAAGGAGCAACACAAUAAUUUUACAUAUAAUUGUCUAUAAUUUAAGUUGGUAAUUUUACUGGCAAAAUUGCCAUCAGCUAUUUGGUUAACAGUAUCAAAGAGAAUCAAAAUAAUGGUAAGACAACUUAAACAAUUAAAGGCAAAGUUUAUUAUUAUGAUUUUAUGCAUUUAAAAAAUUCUAAUUAUGUUUUUUUUUUUCCAUGAGUCAUCAAUAAGAUUAAAUAGUUUGAAGACCCAUAAAGAAGCAAUAACAUUAUUUUAAAUCAAUCAAAAUCGUAUGUGAGCGAGUAACAUGUAAAUUCUUAAAUAUAAUUGGUAUUAUUGUGUGUUUUUUUUCAUGUCCCUUUGAGAGGAAUAUUGGGAGUAUUUAUACAUACUCUUACUGUUACUAUUACAGCUUAUAACUGGGUGAAUCAUUUUGUCUCGGCCUUGGGGUUUCUGGUGCUAAUAUUCCCUGUGCACCCCCUAACUUGUUGGACGCGUGCCUGCGUAGCAUGCGGUCCUUUUUUAUCCUGGGCUAACAUCUUCAGCGAACUCUAUACCUAUUGGUCACGGGUCCGGAUUACUUGUAGGCUUCAUAAUCUUUCCUGCGAACACCGUUCGCGACCCAUCUUGCGAAGUGUGCCUACGAACUCUUUUUGCGAGCUGUCUUGGCAAAUACACCUCUUCCAAGUUGGGUCCAUCCAGGUCAAGGGUCGGAGACCCGAAUUCUUUUAGGACAUUUGGGUUGGCGAUUAUAUAUAUAUAACAUGUAUAAAAAAUAAAAAAUAUAGAGAAUAAUGAAAUAAAAAUUUAACAGAUAGGUAAUAUAGUUUGAUCGCAAGAAAUUAACUUUAUUUACCAAUUUAAAGACCUAAAAUAACCACAUAAAAAUUAAAGAAUGUGAAAAAUCUCCCAAAAACGACUCUCAAGAAAGACCUGUUUUCCAUAUAUAUAUAUCAUCUUAAUAAUAGAAGUAUAAAUUAAUGAUAUAAAAAAGUAGACAUUGAACUAACAAUUUGGUGGAAGAAACCGAAGAAAAGAAAAUGAGCACGUUAUAGUUGGCAGUAAACUUGUUAUCAAUGUAAUUUUCAAUUUGUAUUCAAGUGAAAUUAAAAAACGAAACUUAUAAAGAAAGAUAGUGUGGGGUGUGCCUUACAUUUAUCAGAUAUUUUACAGGUAACUUAGACGAAAAUCGACGAGCAAUUGAAAAAGGGCCAAAAUAAGCCCGACGUCGGGACAAGGAGAUCCUCGACGUUGGGACAAUGCGACGGUUUUUGGCAAUGGACAUGUCGACGACGUCAUGACGAGGAAAGCUGGCAUGUCAUGACAUCACGAUGAUUCCUAAUGUUAUACAACUACGUUUUGGACAGUUGAACAUGACUUCUUCUUCUAGUUGAGCUUUGAUUACUUCAAGGAUAUUUUAGUAUGAGUAAAACUCCAAUCUUAGUCUAUUUAAAGGGCCUUAAUAACCUUGAUAUCAAUCAGUGAGGGUUUUUCUUGAGGGCGACAAAAUAUAGUCAUAUAUGAGUUUUGAUGAGAAUUUUGUGGUAAUUAUGAAGAGAAUUUUGUUUUUGAGUUAUGACUUUAUUUUUGAGAUUUGAGAUUAUAUACUUAGUACAUUUAGGUUUAUUCUCUCCAUAUUGUUCUAUAUUUUUAUUAGCAAUAAGACAACUUAAAUAAUUAAAGGUGAAGUUUAUUAUUAUGAUUUUAUGCGUUUAAAAAAAAAAUCUAAAUAUGUUCUUCUUUCCAUGAAUCAUCGAUAAGAUUAACUAGUUUGAAAACCCAUACAGAAGCAAUAACAUUAUUUUAAAUCAAUCAAUAUCUUAUGUGAGCGAGAAAUAUGUAAAUUCUUAAAUAUAAUUGGUAUUGUUGACAUAUUUUUCUUCAUGUCUCAUUGAGAAGAAUAUUGGGGGUAUUUAUACAUACUCCUAUUGUUACUAUUGCAGCUCAUAAUUGGGCUCACCAUUCUGUCUCGGCCUUGGGGACUCUGAUGCUGAUAUUCCUUGCCUCUGGUGUUGACAUUCUCUUUAUGCCCCCUAGCUUGUUGGACACGUGUCUGCAUAGCAUGCGAUCCUUUCUGAUUUUAAGGCUGACAUCCUCAACGAGCUCCGUACUCGUUGGUCACGAGUCUAGAUUACUUGUAGGCCUUGUAAUCUUUCCUGGGAACAUUGUUCGUGACCCCAUCUUACGAAGUGUGCUCGGGAACUCUUCUUCCAGGCUGUCUUGGCGAGUACACCUCUUCUAAGUUGAGUCCAUCCAGGUCAAGGAUCGAAGACCUAAAUCCUUUUAGGACAUUUGAGUUGGCAAUUACAGAUAUAUAUAACAAGUAUAAUAAAUAAAAAAUAUAGAGAAUGAUGAAAUAAAAAUUUAACAGAUAGGUAAUGUAGUUUGAUCGCAAGAAAUUAACUUUAUUUACCAAUUUAAAGACCUAAAAUAACCACAUAAAAUAAUCAAAAAAUUAAAGAAUGUGAAAAGUCUCCCAAAAACAACUCUCAAGAAAGAACUGUUUUCCAUAUAUAUAUAUCAUCUUAAUAAUAGAAGUAUAAAUUAGUGAUAUAAAAUAUUAGACAUUGAACUAACAAUUCAAUAGAAGAAACCCAAGAAAAGAAAAAUGAGCACGUUAUAGUUGGAAAUAAACUUCUUGUCAAUGUAAUUUUCAAUGUGUAUUCCGGUGAAAUUAAAAAAAGAAACUCAUAAAGAAAGAUAAUGUAGAGUGUACUUUGCAUUUAUCGGACAUGUUAUAGGUAAUUUAGAUGAUAAUCUACGAGCAAUUUCUAUCUAUUUUUUACAUGUGGGCCAAUGAAUAAAUGCCCUAUGACAAGGUGGGACAAGUCUAAAUUGGUAAUUGAGUGAAAAGGAAAACUUGCAAAUAACUUUUCGUUUUCUUUUCGAGAGAUUUUUUUUUUUUUUGUGCAGAAACAGGUUUUGUCUUCUUCACUCGUUUUCAUUGGUACAAGUUAUGGGGAUUACAUACUUGCAAAGUAACCAAAUGAUUACAAGAGAGAAAAGAAAAUAUGAAUCCUAAGGCAAAAAAUAAAGCCACUUCUUAGAUGUUAUAAUAGCUUAAAUGGUUCAGGCAGAUAUUCGAAUCCAUUAUCAAAGAUGUAUCAUUGAUCUGACUUAUCAUGAAGAGAAUAAAAUCCCCUCUCAACAACAAGCUUGGAGAGAAUGAGUAUAUAUUGAUGAAAUCAAGAGAGAAAAGGAAAAAAUAGGUCUUUUUUUUUUUAAAUUUUUAGUUUUGAUUUAGAGAAUGUCGACAGGUAAAAUUUUAUGCAAGCCCUUCAAUUUUGAUUGUUUAGUUUUUUUCUUUAGCCUACAGUGCCACAUGGCAUCCAUUUGUUGGCCCACAUGUAAAAAAUGGAUAGAAAUUAACCUUGUUAGCAUGAGGUACCAAAAGGUUAGACAGAGAAAAGAUUGAGGUGCCGAAUCAGACAAAUUAAAAGUAUAAGUACCACAUUAAAAUUUUUGUUAAAAUAUAGGGAGAUUUUUGUCAUUAUCCCAAUAUCUGAGUUAGCAAAAAUCAAAUUUUGAAAAUUUCAACCAUAUCUCAAAUAUUUGAAUCCACAAAAAUCUAAAUUUGCUAAAAUUCUUUUUUUAAUAUAUAUAUAUAUAAAAUAAAACAAAAUUAAUUUUAAAUAACAUCUACCCGUAAUUAAAAACAGUAAUUUUAAACCCGGUAAAAUAUUCCCAAGGUCAUAAAACUAUUAGUAAGUUUAUGUUUUGGUUACUUAACUUUAAAAAGUUAUAAAAUAAUCACUGAACUAUUUGAAAGUUUUCAUUUAAGUCGUUGAAUUAUUUUAAAGUUUUUAUUUAAGUCAUUGGGUUGUUAAUUUUUUUUAAACUCCGGCUAGUGAGUUCCAAGUAACAAUUCAACGAUCUGUACGGUGGAUUGAUACUUAUUAACAAAUUGAAAAACAUACUUUAGAUCCAAGUUGAUCUGAUGGUUAGUGUUAGAGAUUAGAUAAUAAAAUUAUUUAGAUUUUGGUUUGCAAAUUCAUGACAUUUAAAGUUGUUUAAUGAAAGAAAAUUAAAUCGCAAAAGAGAAGGAGAAAGGAUGCUUUUGAUUGUGUAGACGGUAUAAACGAAAAUUCAUAACCAUUACAAACAGCUUAAACAAUAUAAAGACAAUUUUGUAGCAUAAAAGCAAUUACGAAAAAUCAAAUUUAUUUCUUUGAAAAUUUGAUUUAGGUACUACGUAAAAAAAAUCACUUUAAAUUAAGGUAUAAAGGGAUGGCUUUUACUUUUUAAAAAUAAAAAAAAAAUUAAUGCCAUUUACGAAUCAAACAUAUUAAUAUCAGAUAUCAUUUCAUUCGAGAAUUAGUUGAGAAUAGUCUAUUGAAUUGAAAUAUGUGCCUACUCAAAGUUAGCUAAUUGAUUUGUUCCCCAAAACCUUAGACUCAAACAAAUUUGAGAGCUUGAAAAGCUUAAUUGGAGUAUGCCGAGCUUAAAGUGUUAACUAUGUUUUGGACGACAUCUACAUGACUUAGCUUGAUCUAACUAAAUUACAUAAUGUAUAAAUAUUGAUAGUUAAUUUUUUAGAUUAAAGAUUAAAUUAAAACAAUGUAGAAAUAUUGAAGUUAAAGUUGUUGUUGUGCUAAAUUUAAAAGUUGUUAGGUCAUUUUUUUCCCGUUAACCAUUUAAUAGUUAGUGGUCAAACAAUAAUUUUAUAAUUUUUUAUAAUUAGAUAACCAAAAAUAAAAUUUGCUAAUAAUUAAAUAAUUACUAAUUUAGUUUACCAACGUAAAUAAAGUGGAUGACAAGUUGGGAGGGUCCAUGGCUUUAUACUCCAAGAGUGCGUCCAAAAUAUUCAUUAAUUUGCUCUGCAGGAAGUUGUUCCCUUCCCUGGUUCCCAAACUAGCCAUUUAUUAUUAUUAUUAUUAUUUGAAAUAAAUUAACUGAAUUUUAUUUUUAACCUCUAAAAGAUAAAGCCCAACAAAACAUAAAAUCCAAUACAAAUAAAAUAAAAUAGGCCUAUUUAAGAGAUUAAAUUACCAAUAAAUGUAAAAAAUGCUUUUAGGUGGAAGUAUUUUCUGCUGUAUUAACAUUAAAAAUAGUAACACCAAUAAAUUUUUUUAUUUUACCUAUUAAUCUAAAAAUAAAACUUACAGAACAAAUAUUUAUAUAGACUCUAAAUCUCAUUUUUCUUAUUUUUUUAAAUGAUGUCGGAUGUAGGAUAUAUGUAUAUAUAGACUCAUAAUUUAUUUACAGUUUGUUAUUAAACAAUGCGAUAAUUCUUCCAUUAAUUAUCACACCUUUCAAUCUUUCAAAAAAACUUUUCAUCUUCCCGAUCCUCUUUUAUUUUUUCCAUUCUUCAACUUUCCAGAAUGUAAAUCAACACCACACAUAUUAAACUUGCACACUGCUUUGUCAAUCUCUUUGCACUAGCUCCUCGACGUAAUCAGGGCCCCUUUGUUCAUAUCUCUUUGUUCCCUAUUUCCUAGGCCUUUUGUAGCCAACUUCGUUCUUCAUUCAUUGGCCAUGUUUGAAAUUGCAAAUUUGGAAUCCCUUACUCAGCCAUUGACAAUCUUUAAUGAGAGCACAAAUCUCCGAUAUAUCAUCCCCUUUUUUUUGUAGCUUUUUUAUAAUUGAUAAAACAUCUCCUUCUACCUCUGCAAUCAUGACUCCCAAAUCUAACCCUAAUUGAAGCCCUUGGACACAUGCAAGGGUCUCUGCUGCAAAAAUUGAAGGUACCCUCUCGUUUAGAACAAUCCUCGACGCCAAAACCUUUCCCUCUGAGUACCUAAUGACAAUCUUAAAGGAUGAUCUGUUUGGGCAAAUUUUUGGUGAAAGUAUUAGAAUGUAAUUUAUUAGAAAUUAAAUUAUAUUUUGUUUAUAUGCUAAAAAAAAGUAAAUUAGUCUCUUAAAUUAAUCUUUUCUAUUAAAAAUUUUAUUAAUUUAUUGAUUGAGUCUUAAUCCAAUUGAUAUUAAUAUUGUUGCCAAUAGAGUGACUAAAGCUUAUUAUCUUUUUAUUAAAAUAUUAGGAGGGACUGUUAGGUAAUUUUUUUUUGUUUGAAGUGGGUACCACAAGGUUGAAUAAUUUUCUUUGUCGGUUAGUUAAUUUUUUACGCACAACUUUUGUAUGCUGUGAUAGAAAUCAAAUUUGAGUACUAUACUUCUAUUAAUUUAAUUGUUGGCAGGGUUGGACAUUCCUUGGCACUCUUAAAAGUUUUGAGAAAUUAUUAUUUAUUUUUUAAAAUUUUAUUUAUCUUUUAAAAUUUUGAGAAAUUAUUAUUUAUCUUUUAAAGUAAAGAAAAAAGUAAGCUCCUCAAAAUUCUUUAAAAAAAUUCUCAUUAUAUAUAUUUUGAAAUUGUAAUUAAAAAAUUCACUUAAAAUAUUUAAAAAUUCUCAUUAAUUUCACAAAAAAUUUAAAAUUUUUAAUUAGACUCUUAAUUUUUUUAAAAUCUCAUUAAAAUUUUUGAAAUUUUUAAUAGCCUUAAAACUUAGCCCAAAAAUCUGCCACUGACAAUUGGUAAGUUUUUUUUUUGGCACUUAACUAUGAAUGAAAAGUUACAAAAUUAUCACUUAACUAUUCAAAUUUUUCCUUUUUGGUCACCAGUCGUAAAUGACUAAUAGAAAAUUAACGUGAUAGCUUUUAAAAUUGACAUAAUAAUAAUUUUAACCUUCAACAUUUAUAGCUCGUGUCAAAUUAGUCUUAAUUCUAAAAAAGAUUAACCCUCAAAAUUUACACAUUGUGUAAUUUGAUCUCUCCUUUUAUUUUUUUAUUUUUUUAUUUUUACCUUUUUUUUUGUUGCCCUUCCACCUAAAGAGCUAAAGGAAAAAAUUAAUCUAUCAAGUAAAUUUGAUAGGAAAUAUAUAAAAAAGGAAACAUUUGAAAUUUCAAGAUAAUCAUUUUUAAUUUUUCUUGUUCUUUUAAAAUUAACCCUCAACAUUACAAAUAAAAAGUAAAAUUGGAAAAAAAAUGCUAAUUUAUACAAUGUGCAAAUGUUGAGGGUUAAUUUUUUUUUUGGAAUCAAGGCUAAAUUAACACAAUGUGUAAAUGUUGAAGUUUAAUGUUACUAUUAUACCAAUUUUAAAAAUUGCUAAGUUAUCUUUCGGCUAGUAAUUUAAUGGCCGGUGAUUAUAAAAGAAAAUUUCAAAUAAUUAAGUGUCCAAAAAAGAAAAAAAAUGAAUAAUUGAGUAAUUAUUUUGUAACUUUUCAUAAUUGAUUAAAAUAAAAAACACUAAUAAUUAGAUGACUAUAAUUAUAAUUAUAAUUAUAAUAAAGUAAAAGUAUUAAUAAUUCAUAUUAUGUUAUCAUGCUUAUAGUAUUUAUAUGCAUAUAAUUAAUUAUAAGUAAUAAAUAUAAUGUAAUUUUAAUUCUUCGUAAUAUAAUAUAUCAUUAUAUUAUAAUAUAAGAAAGCAAAUCAUGUGUCAGGUAGUUUCAUAUUAACAAUUCAUGUUAUAUUAAUCAUGCUUAUAAUAUAUGUUACAUAUAUAAAUAAUACGAAGAUUUAUUAAUUUUUAUAAUAUAAUAUAAUAUAUGUUAAAUAUAUGUAUGCCACGUUAUAUGAGUAAGGCUUAAUGAUAAAUUUGGUCACUAAUGUUUACAUGUUUUGUCAAAAUAAUUCUUAUUGUAUUUUUAUGUUUUUUUUCAUCAACUUUUUAUCUUUUUUCAAACUGCAUUUUUACCAUAUUUAAUUAAUAAAUUCACGAGAUUUAAUGAAUAAAUAUAAGGUUUCAAUAUUUUAUAUGUUUGUUUAUUGAGAAAAUUUUCUACUUGAGUUAAAUUUUUUUUAGGUAACUAUGUUAUUUUCUUUAAAUUAAGAGUUGUUUUUUAAUUUAAUGUAUUAUUUACUUAUUUUAUUAUUUUUCACAUGCAAAUCUAAGUAAUAAAUUAAAUUUCAUUAAAAAUGUUACACAUAUGAAAUUUCACAUCAUUCCCAUUAAUUUUUUUAACUGACUUUCAUUAAAACUGUUAGAAAAACAGAAAAUAAAAAAAAACAAAGAUAGAUGACCAAAAAAUAAAAAAAUACAAUUAAAAUUAUUUUGAGAAACAUAUAAAUAAUAAUAGCUAUGAGUACUAAGUAAAAAAAAACAGUGUGAUCGUAAGCUUGAUUUUGUUGUAGUGGGAGAAUGAAAAAUCUAACAGAAGAUACACCAUAAUUAAAUUACGUACACCACGUUAUUAUUAUAUUUUUAUUUUCUUUAAAAGAUAGGAUGGCAUUGGAAACGUUUAUGGCCUCAAAUGGUUGCUAUAAAUCAGAGUGUGAGCCCUCAAUUCUCCAGAAACACAAACGGAAAUGGGGAAACCACACGUUUUGGUAAUCCCUUAUCCAGCACAAGGCCAUGUUAUUCCUCUCAUGGAACUCUCCCAAAACUUAGCCGAACAAGGCAUCAAAAUCAUCUUUGUUAACACAGAGUUUAAUCACAAGAGGGUCCUGGAUGCAUUCGGCGAGAAGGUGAAUGAAAAUGGCUUACUUCAUCUACUUUCAGUCCCCGAUGGACUGGAAGAUGGGGAAGAUAGGAAUCAGUUAGGGAAGUUAACUGAAAGAUUAUGCCAGGUUAUACCUACUCAAAUCAAGGAGCUCAUUCAUAAGGUUAAUGAAUCAGAUGAUGAUAAGAUUUCAUGUGUUUUAGCUGAUAUUACCAUGGGGUUGGCUCUUGAUGUUGCGGCGGAGUUGGGGAUUCCUACGGUGGGCUUGUGGCCGGCUGCGGUG